AUGCUCACUUCAACAGCACAUACGCUUAUAUUGGAAUGAUAUAGAGAAGGUCAAUGUGGCCUUUGUGCAAGAAUGACACAUAAAUUUGUGAAGUCUUCCAAGUUUUU
Molecule: small nuclear RNA, 107 nt
Organism: Hyaena hyaena (striped hyena)
Lineage: Eukaryota; Metazoa; Chordata; Mammalia; Carnivora; Hyaenidae
Source: RefSeq, a predicted model, not a curated record